This is a long non-coding RNA of Gopherus agassizii (Agassiz's desert tortoise), 1660 nucleotides long. Lineage: Eukaryota; Metazoa; Chordata; Testudines; Testudinidae. The record is from Ensembl.
AUGCUGGAAAGGGCCAACGGGCACCUCAGAGAAAUGCAGGCCGAGCUGCAGAGAAAACGAGCGGAAGCAGACAGCAACCGACUGACACGAGAUAUCGGCAUCGGGCUGAUGUUUAUUCCUCUCGUGGGGACAAUUGCUGGCUCCAUCAUGGUCAUCUGUGGGCAGGUAGCUUUGGAUGCCGCUGAGAAAGCCGCAGGCGAGGCCCAGGAUGCCGUUAAGCGACACAUGAAUGAAGUGUUCAAGUACUCAGCAGAAGUCUGCAGAUAUGACGAGCAGAAGCGGCAGGUGGAGGCCGAGAUCGCAGCCAAUAAGCAGCGACUGGCUCAGAUCGAUGCAGAGCGACAGGCGUUGGCCAUGCUACAGGGGGAGAUCGUCACCCUGCAGAACGGGCUGAGGAAAUGUGUUACCUUCAUGAAUGGGCUAGCGGGGAGGGUAAGCGUGGCUAAGAGGCUCACCGAGCACCUGCUGAUCUACGAGGAGCUGGCCAACAUCCUCGGAGAGAUCGUCCAGCAGGUGCUGCCCCUAAUGAGCCCAGGAGGAGAGGCUGGCACGAGAUUCCUGGCCGCGGGGGAUCUCCAGGGCCUCAUUGAGAAGUUGAAGUCAGGCGGUUGCAGGCUCAGAGCCCUGGCAGAUGCCGAGGUAGCAGCAAUUGAGUUUUAAGGCCACGAUUUCAAAAGCCAAAGGCCCAGGCCCAUGGCCAGGCUGCGGCGAGCGCAUAGGUUUCCGUCUACACUUGAGAAUCGUACUGGCCUACAAUGCUGGUUAGUUGGGCUGCCACCUCCAAGAUCCAACACUCCCUCCCCCAAAAUAGCCUUUGCCCCUCACCUCCACCAUCCUGACCCUCUUCUUCCUCUCAGGCAGCCCCUGGGGCUCAAACCCCCAUCUCCGCACCCCUGUACCCACUCCUGACUCUCCCUGCUGGUGAGCCUGGCGUCCUGCCCUCCCUUCUCCACCACGUGACCCGGCACACUCCUCCCAAGAUCCCUGCGCGGCCACUGGGGUUAUGAGUGAAAACACCCCUGGCACAUGGCAACCAGCACGAGAAAAACCGGCCAGGUGCCAAUCCCAGCCAGGGCUGUGCCAUGUUAACUNUGAGAAAAACGGGCCAGGUGCCAACCCCAGCCAGGGCUGUGCCAUGUUAACUGACACGGAGAAACCGGUACAGCCCCCUGUGUGCAAACAGUUAUACUGGUGUGAAGGGGCCUUUACUAGUUUAUCUAAGUCCCCUUCCCCUGUGGGAAUAGGCACCGACAUGCCAGUAUAGCUGCCUCCACACUGCAGGGGGAUAGCUAGACGGGAUGAGCUAAAGCAGUACAACUUCCUAAUGUAGACAAGACCUAAAUUGUUUUUUACGUGGUGGAGUAAAAUCAUUGCAACCCCUGUGUGGAUGCGUUUUGUUCUGGCUUAGGAGUAACUAGUGUGAAGCUUGAUCGAUGCUGAAAAAUUCUACGGGCAUUGCUGUGUCGGGCAGGGUGUAAGAACAACACCCACCCACACCCCAUGGCUGUGCUGGUAAAACCCCCAAUGCAGACACAACUGUGUCAACAGAGGAGUGCUUCCGGCAGAUCCACUAACAUCUUUUCGGGAGGUGGUGUUUGUUGUACCAUCCGAAAAGCUCCUGGUGUUGGCGUGAGCUGCGUCCGCACGAGGGAACCCGGCC